This 492-nucleotide ribosomal RNA is filed under the name uncultured bacterium. RNAcentral's name for it is "partial 16S ribosomal RNA". It matches the Rfam family "Bacterial small subunit ribosomal RNA", at positions 29 to 507 of the family's 1533-position model. The record is from RNAcentral.
AGUGAACGCUGGCGGUAGGCCUAACACAUGCAAGUCGAACGGCAGCACAGUAAGAGCUUGCUCUUACGGGUGGCGAGUGGCGGACGGGUGAGGAAUACAUCGGAAUCUACUUUUUCGUGGGGGAUAACGUAGGGAAACUUACGCUAAUACCGCAUACGACCUACGGGUGAAAGCAGGGGAUCUUCGGACCUUGCGCGAUUGAAUGAGCCGAUGUCGGAUUAGCUAGUUGGCGGGGUAAAGGCCCACCAAGGCGACGAUCCGUAGCUGGUCUGAGAGGAUGAUCAGCCACACUGGAACUGAGACACGGUCCAGACUCCUACGGGAGGCAGCAGUGGGGAAUAUUGGACAAUGGGCGCAAGCCUGAUCCAGCCAUACCGCGUGUGUGAAGAAGGCCUUCGGGUUGUAAAGCCCUUUUGUUUGGAAAGAAAAGCAGCAGGUUAAUACCCCGCUGUUUUGACGGUACCCAAAGAAUAAGCACCGGCUAACUUCGUG